Pseudophryne corroboree (corroboree frog) is the source of this 516-nucleotide long non-coding RNA. RefSeq lists it as uncharacterized. The record is from RefSeq and is a predicted model, not a curated record. The transcript has 3 exons. Lineage: Eukaryota; Metazoa; Chordata; Amphibia; Anura; Myobatrachidae.
GAGGCUGCUGGGAAUUAUCUGCCAGUGUAAUUACAUGUACAUGCUCUAUAGUGCAUACCACAGUGUCACACGUAAUACCUCAUAUAGCAGGAUAUUACAUUGGCAACUAAUGAUAUUUGUGCAGUCUAAAGGAGACUUUUGAUUCUCGCGAAUGCUAAGAAAACUAAUAUAUAAUAGAUAAUCAUAUGUAGUUCUUCAGGCUGCCCAGAUGGGACUCUAGUACAGUGAAUAUAUAAUGGCUUUAGAAGAAGCAAUUCCACCUAUCCAGUACCAUUAAGUAUUGAUGAUGGGAUACACGAGGGAAGAGAAUAGCACAUGAGAGAAGUGUAUAUUGCACCAUUGAAGGUUAAUCCAUACAAUGAGGAAAAGGCCAAUAAUGCUUUCCAACAGAGAAGAGGAGAAGGCUCAAUAACAACAAAAGUGGUGAUUACGUCUGAUGUAUUUAAUCUAGGUUUAAUUAAGGGAUUAUCAAACAUGGAGUCAACCGAUAUUUAUAAUAAAAGGUGAUUAGUGACA